RNAcentral lists this ribosomal RNA (194 nucleotides) under uncultured eukaryote. RNAcentral's name for it is "partial large subunit ribosomal RNA". It matches the Rfam family "Eukaryotic large subunit ribosomal RNA", at positions 40 to 222 of the family's 3401-position model. The record is from RNAcentral.
AUAUAAAUAAGCGGAGGAAAAGAAACCAAAAGGGAUACCCUAAGUAACGGCGAGCGAAAGGGGUAGAGCUCAGCGCUAAGUCCUGUCGUCAUUGGGCGUACAGGAGGUGCAGCGUGGAAACAGCAGUGCAUCGUACUAGGUGAUGUGUCGCAAGUUCCUCUGACAAGGACUCUUCCAUAGCAAUUCCCGGGAAU